GGAAGUAAAAGUCGUAACAAGGUCUCCGUUGGUGAACCAGCGGAGGGAUCAUUACAGAGUUGCAAAACUCCCACAACCAUUGUGAACCUUACCUGAAACCGUUGCUUCGGCGGGCGGGCCCCAGCGGCCCCCCCCGGCCCCCCCGCCCCCCAGCGGCGUGGGCGCCCGCCGGAGGAUACCCAAACUCUUGAUACUGUAUGGCCUCUCUGAGUCUUCUGUACUGAAUAAGUCAAAACUUUCAACAACGGAUCUCUUGGUUCUGGCAUCGAUGAAGAACGCAGCGAAAUGCGAUAAGUAAUGUGAAUUGCAGAAUUCAGUGAAUCAUCGAAUCUUUGAACGCACAUUGCGCCCGCCAGUAUUCUGGCGGGCAUGCCUGUUCGAGCGUCAUUUCAACCAUCAAGCCCCCGGCUUGUGUUGGGGACCUGCGGCUGCCCGCAGGCCCUGAAAACCAGUGGCGGGCUCGCUAGUCACACCGAGCGCAGUAGCAUACAUCUCGCUCAGGGCGUGCUGCGGGUUCCGGCCGUUAAAAGCCUCCAAUAACCCAAGGUUGACCUCGGAUCAGGUAGGAAGACCCGCUGAACUUAAGCAUAUCAAUAAGCGGAGGA
Molecule: ribosomal RNA, 605 nt
Filed under: Sordariales sp. ATT041
Lineage: Eukaryota; Fungi; Ascomycota; Sordariomycetes; Sordariales
Description: eukaryotic LSU rRNA
Rfam family: 5.8S ribosomal RNA (bases 234-387)
Source: RNAcentral